AUGGGGAAACCCAGCAUGAGUUAUGUCAUGUUAUCGAUAUGUGAAUACAUAGCAUAUCAGAAGGCACACCCGGAGAACUGAAACAUCUUAGUACCCGGAGGAAGAGAAAGAAAAUUCGAUUCCCUUAGUAGCGGCGAGCGAAACGGGAAGAGCCCAAACCAAAAAGCUUGCUUGUUGGGGUUGUAGGACACUCUAUACGGAGUUACAAAGGACGACAUUAGACGAAUCAUCUGGAAAGAUGAAUCAAAGAAGGUAAUAAUCCUGUAGUCGAAAAUGUUGUCUCUCUUGAGUGGAUCCUGAGUACGACGGAGCACGUGAAAUUCCGUCGGAAUCUGGGAGGACCAUCUCCUAAGGCUAAAUACUCUCUAGUGACCGAUAGUGAACCAGUACCGUGAGGGAAAGGUGAAAAGCACCCCGGAAGGAGAGUGAAAUAGAACCUGAAACCGUGUGCUUACAAGUAGUCAGAGCCCGUUAAUGGGUGAUGGCGUGCCUUUUGUAGAAUGAACCGGCGAGUUACGAUUUGAUGCAAGG
Molecule: ribosomal RNA, 531 nt
Filed under: Streptomyces malaysiensis subsp. malaysiensis
Lineage: Bacteria; Bacillati; Actinomycetota; Actinomycetes; Kitasatosporales; Streptomycetaceae
Description: partial 23S ribosomal RNA
Rfam family: Bacterial large subunit ribosomal RNA
Source: RNAcentral